Molecule: long non-coding RNA, 1285 nt
Organism: Vicia villosa (hairy vetch)
Lineage: Eukaryota; Viridiplantae; Streptophyta; Magnoliopsida; Fabales; Fabaceae
Exons: 3
Source: RefSeq, a predicted model, not a curated record
UAUGAAGCUAAAUGGAGGAAUGUUUACCGGUUAAAAAUGCAGAAAAAUACAGCUUUUGGUCUUACCCGCAAGGUGUUCGGUAAAACACCUCAACCGUAUCUCUUGAUUCUUUUGCUUCAAUUUUUUUACUUCAUGAUGUUGAGUUGUUGUACUGGUGGUAUUGUUCAUUGAUGAUCAUUUGCGGCGUGUGAAUUGGUGGAGAAUUGUCGACGUUACUACCUUUUUACAACUUACGCCUCAAGUGUUCGACAAAAAGUUUCAACUAGUUUCUUUCCUCUUUUUGCUUUUGUUUUGAUGUGCAUUGUGAUGCUGAAUUUUCUGUUAUUGUUGCUGAACUCUUGAGUUUCUAUUUAAUGCUUGAAAUCUUAAGUUUUAUAUUGAUAUCUUCUUAAAUUUUCUUCUUCCAUCUUAAUCGUGUAAGUGUGCUUCAAUAGAACAAACUAGAUUAUCCUCUUCCUUCAUACAUUUCUUACUUACGCUCCCCUUUUUUUUCCAUUUUAUUCUUUCCUCAAAUGUGUUACUGUUAAGAAACUGGAAGAGAGAAAAACUUGGAGAAGGACAAUAUUUUUCUUACACUGUUGACAUUAGUCUAAUUUUGGUGGUUUUGAAUUGUUAUGGUCCUUUCUUCAUUCUGCUUAUUGAAUUGGUUAUCAAGUCUAUAGUGGAUUUCUGUAUUUCAGCUUCAAAGUCAUGCAUAAAAUAUGAUGUUUAGAUGAACAAGCUUAGAUUGAACUUGAUAAAUUCACUUGAUUUGAUGCUUUGUUUGUAGACUAAUUUCUCAUUUCUUAAUUAAAGAAUUGCAGUGAUGAGUAUGAUACAUGGACAUGCCUUCUCCUUGGAAUUCAAGCAGAAGUUUUGGUUUAACCUUAAACAUCCAUUGAAUUUGGUUUACAGACAGUCAUCUUCUAUUUGUCAGUUUUUUUUAGAAUUCUAAAUAUGGUUUAAACUGAUUUACAAGAUCUUGGGCAGUUUGUAGCAUGCUUUGUAUUACUAUAUUUUGUUCAUGGACUAUUCAUCAAUCAAUCAGAAGUUCCACUUUUUGUGAAUGGAAUACUAAUAAAGUUGAGUGGGGAGAGUGCAUUUAUGCUUAUGAGUCUUCUUGGAGAACUCUUGUGCCUCAUAACUUUUACCUUCAUUCCUCUAUUGUACAGGGUAGACAUAAGGAAGCUGAUGAAGUGUUGUGCUAUACCUGAAGAGGAAUCCAUAGUUAACAAUCAGUACAUUCCACAAAAGAUGGGAUUAAAAGGCGUCGACCACGUUGCAAUCAUAGUUACAAUUGGAAAUU